This 460-nucleotide ribosomal RNA is filed under the name uncultured bacterium. RNAcentral's name for it is "partial 16S ribosomal RNA". It matches the Rfam family "Bacterial small subunit ribosomal RNA", at positions 28 to 504 of the family's 1533-position model. The record is from RNAcentral.
GAUGAACGCUGACAGAAUGCUUAACACAUGCAAGUCUUUGGCGAAGCUGUGCUCGCACAGCCUAGCCAAGGCGGACGGGUGAGUAACGCGUAAGGAACUUGCCCUGCAGUCAGGGAUAACAGACGGAAACGACUGAUAAGACCUGGUAAAGUCAGGCGGACUCAUGUCCAGCCUGAUGAAAAGAGAUGCUGCAGGAGAGCCUUGCGUCCUAUUAGCUUGUUGGUGGGGUAACGGCCCACCAAGGCGAUGAUAGGUAGCCGGCCUGAGAGGGUGGACGGCCACAAGGGGACUGAGAUACGGCCCUUACUCCUACGGGAGGCAGCAGUGGGGAAUAUUGGACAAUGGGGGCAACCCUGAUCCAGCAAUUCUGUGUGCACGAUGAAGGUUUUCGGAUUGUAAAGUGCUUUCAGCAGGGAAGAAAAAAAUGACGGUACCUGCAGAAGAAGCGACGGCUAAAUAC